AUAAGAUCAAUGCUUUACUUGCAUUUUAACUCUAUGGCUAAAUUAAAGCUAUACCUUGAUGUGUCAUCUUUAAAAGACAAAAUGAGGUGUGAAAGACAAUAGACUGCGUGCAUGUUGAAUUUGCUCACAAAAUGACACAAAAAUUGACAAAAUUGAGUAACUAU
Long non-coding RNA from Syngnathus acus (greater pipefish), 164 nucleotides. RefSeq lists it as uncharacterized. Lineage: Eukaryota; Metazoa; Chordata; Actinopteri; Syngnathiformes; Syngnathidae. The record is from RefSeq and is a predicted model, not a curated record. The transcript is spliced from 2 exons.